Molecule: transfer RNA, 73 nt
Filed under: Fomitopsis schrenkii
Lineage: Eukaryota; Fungi; Basidiomycota; Agaricomycetes; Polyporales; Fomitopsidaceae
Description: tRNA-Phe (GAA) (tRNA-Phe-GAA-2-1, tRNA-Phe-GAA-2-2)
Rfam family: tRNA
About the family: Transfer RNA (tRNA) molecules are approximately 80 nucleotides in length. Their secondary structure includes four short double-helical elements and three loops (D, anti-codon, and T loops).
Source: RNAcentral
GCCGAGAUAGCUCAGUUGGGAGAGCAGCAGACUGAAGUUCUGAAGGUCGGGCGUUCGAUCCGCCCUCUUGGCA